AGGGCUCCUGUCAACUCCCCCACUGUGGCAGAUUGGAUUGUACCUUCUGAAGACGGCCAAAAUAACAGCUCCCAUCCCGCAUGCUCUUCUGCCAUGGGACUUGCUGCUCUCCCACCGAGAGGUGACAAGGUAGCACAUUUGUACAUAAUAAGGCUGGCCUGGGGAUGGAGGGAGUCCCUGCCCUGACUGUGACUCAGUGAGACUCUUUGCCUGGUCCUAGUCCAAGAGAAACGCAUGCUAUGAUCUCACUGAAGUCUGAAGUGACUCUGAAACUUUGCAGUAAAAAGAAAAUUUCAUCCUUUAAGAUGGUGAGUUACCAGAGAAGUCACAAGGAUAAAAUGAAUGAUGGAGGUUUCUGGAAGAUGUUAUCACCACAUUCAUAGCAUCUAGCCUUUCGUAUACAUUGGGAUGGAAUGGGUAAGAGACAGGCUUGGGGCUCAGUCUCCUAACUGGUUAGUAACUAAAGAUGCCUUGGAGAGGAGAGUUGAGAGUCCAUAUUUUUCACAGAAAUUCUUUUUGAGCCACAUUGACAUUCCUAAAACACCGCACAUACUGAUGCUAUGAUUUCACGGUCAUUUGGUCUCUAAUACCCACAAACUUUGCCUGCCCCUAGCAUAGUUUUACAGCGUUUGUUUAAAAACAACACCCCAAACUAAAACCUUACCUGCAUAAACCAAGCAUAUCUGUGGUUUGGAAAACAGGCCAGGAGUCUAGAGUUCUAUUUCUAACUAUGCAGCUAACUUCCCAGGUGGACUGGAAGAAAUCCUUGAUUCCUUUGCUCCUUAGUUUCUUCAUAUUCAUCCAUCCUUCUGAAAGGUAUUCCUUAAGUACUGGGACCCUGUGGAUACAAAAAUAAAUAGAACCUAGCUCCUUUGUCAAGAUCCUUGGAAUUUAGGGGAAAAGACAAACAAUAAUUGAAGAUUGCAAUCCAGUGUGAGUGGCCCUGGAACCACGGCAGCCAUAUUGCCACCAGCUGGAAGACGAAGCCAACGGUGGGAGAAGACAGAGCUGGUCGAAUCCCCCAGGAGUAAAAUGCAGCCUGUAGUACCCUUCCUGGAUUGUAUCUUACUUGGAGUCUUCUUGUUCUGGGAGGCAAUAAAUUUCUUUGUUAUUUAAGCCAUGAUGAAUCAGCGUUUUCAAUUAUUUGCAGCCAAAAGCAUCCUAAGCAAUAGCCAAGUAUGCAUGGAAGUUCAUGCACUUCUCUCACAGAACAUUAUGUCAGACAUUUAGUUCUAGGAAACAGGCUUAUCUGAUUUCUCAGUUCUAGGAAGCAGGCUUAUCUGAUUUCCUAGUUUCUGGCAGAUUAGAAAUAACUUUCUCUAUUCUCUAGAAAUAGAGAAAGUUAGAGACAGGCA
Molecule: long non-coding RNA, 1355 nt
Filed under: Homo sapiens (human)
Lineage: Eukaryota; Metazoa; Chordata; Mammalia; Primates; Hominidae
Description: HSALNT0045057
Source: RNAcentral